RNAcentral lists this small RNA (323 nucleotides) under Stenotrophomonas maltophilia. Its description in RNAcentral is "Proteobacterial sRNA sX6". The record is from RNAcentral. Lineage: Bacteria; Pseudomonadati; Pseudomonadota; Gammaproteobacteria; Lysobacterales; Lysobacteraceae.
GAGGAGGACUCCAUGAAGAAGUUGCUGACCAUUGCGAUCCUGGCCGCCGCUGCCGUUGCAGUGCCGCUGGUGCUGGCGCAGAACGCCGGCCAGCCGGCCCCGCAGCAGGGCGACCAGGCCGACAAGGCGCAGUCCGAGGCGGACGCCAAGGCCAAGCGCCGCGCCCAGGCCAAUGCCGAAAUGAAGGCCAAGGGCCAGCCGGUCCCGCAGCAGGAAGAAGAGGAAGAAGCGCGCAAGAAGCGCUGAUCCCACAACCUGCCAGGCGCCCUUGCGACAAGGGUUGCGCUCCGGAACGCCCCGCCCAGCGGGGCGUUUUUUGUUGG